This 78-nucleotide transfer RNA is filed under the name Bacillota bacterium. RNAcentral describes it as "Firmicutes bacterium (anaerobic digester metagenome) tRNA-Thr". It matches the Rfam family "tRNA". Rfam says of the family: Transfer RNA (tRNA) molecules are approximately 80 nucleotides in length. The record is from RNAcentral. Lineage: Bacteria; Bacillati; Bacillota.
AAGCCGGUGUAGCUCAAUUGGCAGAGCACUCGACUUGUAAUCGAGAGGUUGUGGAUCCAAUUGAGCUACACCGGCUUA